RNAcentral lists this ribosomal RNA (404 nucleotides) under Actinomycetes bacterium. RNAcentral describes it as "Actinobacteria bacterium partial 16S ribosomal RNA". It matches the Rfam family "Bacterial small subunit ribosomal RNA", at positions 355 to 776 of the family's 1533-position model. Lineage: Bacteria; Bacillati; Actinomycetota; Actinomycetes. The record is from RNAcentral.
UGGGGAAUAUUGGACAAUGCGCGCAAGCCUGAUCCAGCCAUGCCGCGUGAGUGAUGAAGGUCCUAGGGUUGUAAAGCUCUUUCACCGGUGAAGAUAAUGACGGUAACCGGAGAAGAAGCCCCGGCUAACUUCGUGCCAGCAGCCGCGGUAAUACGAAGGGGGCUAGCGUUGUUCGGAUUUACUGGGCGUAAAGCGCACGUAGGCGGACUUUUAAGUCAGGGGUGAAAUCCCGGGGCUCAACCCCGGAACUGCCUUUGAUACUGGAAGUCUUGAGUAUGGUAGAGGUGAGUGGAAUUCCGAGUGUAGAGGUGAAAUUCGUAGAUAUUCGGAGGAACACCAGUGGCGAAGGCGGCUCACUGGACCAUUACUGACGCUGAGGUGCGAAAGCGUGGGGAGCAAACAGG